RNAcentral lists this long non-coding RNA (230 nucleotides) under Elaeis guineensis (African oil palm). RNAcentral's name for it is "long non-coding RNA (EGUI_LNC069545)". Lineage: Eukaryota; Viridiplantae; Streptophyta; Magnoliopsida; Arecales; Arecaceae. The record is from RNAcentral.
UGCAGGUAGACUUCAUCCGGGCUCCUACGGGAGCCAGACUUCAGCCCUGAGCUCCCAUUGCAGGUAGACCUCAUCCGAAUUCUUACAAGGGUCGGACUCUGAGCCCCCACCACAAGCAAUCUACUCCGAGCUUCUGCUACAAGCGAUCUACUCCGAGCCUCUGCUACAAGCGAUCUACUCCGAGCUACUACUACAAGCAGUCUACUUCAAAUUUCUACUACGAGCAGUCC